Panthera uncia (snow leopard) is the source of this 464-nucleotide long non-coding RNA. RefSeq lists it as uncharacterized. NCBI's taxonomy places the organism in Eukaryota, Metazoa, Chordata, Mammalia, Carnivora, Felidae. The transcript has 4 exons. The record is from RefSeq and is a predicted model, not a curated record.
UCGGAGUGGUUCCUCCUUAGAAACCAGACCGAAUCCGACCUAAGCUGGGCUGGGUCCAGUGUGAGGCCCAGGACCCACUAUAUCCAGUGGCAAUUUACCACACGUCGUUAAUAUGUUUGUUAUAUUUUGUUGGCGGAAUAUGAAAGUUCAUCAGCAAGCCCGCACACAGGGAAAGCAUAUUGAAAUGAGCAUCGCAGAUCUGUCAGGCUGGAGUUUAUGGCCUUUUCUCAGUACUACACUGCGACUUCCAGGAAGGGUUCAGGCGCCCUCACUGGGGAACUACAUUCUCUGAACAGGACUUUGUAGAUGCUGAUGCUGUCUAAAUGGAUUACAAAGCUUUGUGAAUGAUAUAAUCUAUCCUUACGGAUCUCCCAACAGAAUUGCCAAAUAUUGGAGCAAAAUAUAUGUAUGUUUCAUAUCAAGAUCAUCAACAGAGGACAAGUUGAAUUAUGGGGCAAAGGAGG